AGAGUUUGAUCAUGGCUCAGAAUCAACGCUGGCGGCGUGCCUCAGACAUGCAAGUCGAACGCGAAAGUCCCCUUCGGGGGGCGAGUAGAGUGGCGCACGGGUGAGUAACACGUAGGUAAUCUACCUUUGGAUUGGGAAUAACCACCGGAAACGGUGGCUAAUACCGAAUAAUGCAGCGGCACCUAAUGGUGACAGUUGUUAAAGCGGGGGAUCGCAAGACCUCGCGUCUGAAGAGGAGCCUGCGGCAGAUUAGCUAGUUGGUAAGGUAACGGCUUACCAAGGCGAUGAUCUGUAGCCGGCCUGAGAGGGCGGUCGGCCACACUGACACUGACAUACGGGUCAGACUCCUACGGGAGGCAGC
This 361-nucleotide ribosomal RNA is filed under the name uncultured soil bacterium. RNAcentral's name for it is "bacterial SSU rRNA". It matches the Rfam family "Bacterial small subunit ribosomal RNA", at positions 8 to 352 of the family's 1533-position model. The record is from RNAcentral.